AACGAACGCUGGCGGCAGGCCUAACACAUGCAAGUCGAACGCGAAAGUCCUUCGGGCGAGUAGAGUGGCGGACGGGUGAGUAACGCGUGGGAAUCUACCCUAGAGCGGGGGACAACCCGGGGAAACCCGGGCUAAUACCGCAUACGUCCUACGGGAGAAAGAGGGCCUCUGCUUGCAAGCUCUCACUCCAGGAUGAGCCCACGUCCGAUUAGCUAGUUGGUAGGGUAAAGGCCUACCAAGGCCACGAUCGGUAGCUGGUCUGAGAGGAUGAUCAGCCACACUGGGACUGAGACACGGCCCAGACUCCUACGGGAGGCAGCAGUGGGGAAUAUUGGACAAUGGGCGCAAGCCUGAUCCAGCAAUGCCGCGUGUGUGAAGAAGGCCUGCGGGUUGUAAAGCACUUUCAGUGGGGAAGAACAGGUUCGGGUCAAUACCCGGAGCCUGACGUUACCACAGAAGAAGCACC
Molecule: ribosomal RNA, 466 nt
Filed under: uncultured bacterium
Lineage: Bacteria
Description: bacterial SSU rRNA
Rfam family: Bacterial small subunit ribosomal RNA
Source: RNAcentral